Molecule: long non-coding RNA, 3272 nt
Filed under: Buteo japonicus
Lineage: Eukaryota; Metazoa; Chordata; Aves; Accipitriformes; Accipitridae
Description: lncRNA (ENSBJAG00000006580.1)
Source: RNAcentral
ACAAAAAUAAAUGUCCCAUGAUUGUAGUGUUGUCACUGGUACGGGUUUAUUACUAGCUGCUAGUAACUGCCAGUGUUUUUUGUUUUUUGAAAUCUGAUUCCAGAAGAAGAAUAUUACUACAUUCACAUUCCGCAUUCUGUCCAAGAUGCUAACUUCAGAUACCCUUUGCCUUAUAAAUUGAAUGUUGUAAAAUAGACGUAAAAUGCUUUUAAUAGUCAUGUCAAGGAAAUUGAAUGCCUUGCUGGCUCAGUUCAAGUAGUAUUUGCCCUUUUGUUUCUAGGAACUUAAUUUUCCUUUUGAGCCUUCAUUUGGUAGUGUCCAUUUUUUUCCCUUAAAUACUUGCUUGUAGCUCUCUGCAAGUAUAUGCUCUUAAGGAGAGAAUUUGGGUAACACAAGACUGGGAAAGGUUAUGUUGUAGUUUGCUGUAAUCACUGGCAACCAUGCAGUGACACCCAGGUGAUGAUUGACUCUCCGAUGGUUUUAUUGUUACAAAUGUGCGCUUUUGUCCUCGACAGGGGCUCCUCAUGAUUAAGGUGAGGAGGUUUGGCCAGAUGAGUAAAAACUAAGGGAAGAAUGGGGAGGAAAAGAUUGCUUGACCAUUUAAAAAUGUCUAGCACUGUGUCUUCUGUUAGCAGCCAACGUUGUUAUCUGUUACCUUUUGAUAGGUAAACCUGAACAAAUGCAAACAUGAACACAGCUCUGCGGAUCAUCUCGGGUUCCCUUUGGAAACCCCAAAUAAAUGGCCACAAGGGAUUGUGUGUUUUCCUGAGAACAGCUCGGCAUUGGAGUUCUUCCUUUCUGUGUGAUGGAUAGUGGCUCUGCUACUCUCAAAAUGAUACCUAUGCCUGCUGGUGCAAAAUGUCGUAUGGUCCACUUCAGUGGAAGUCAAAAUUUAUCCAUGCUGCUGUUCUGUGUUGCUAGGUUACUAUUAAAAUCUUAAAAUGCAGAUGAAGACUGGCUUGUGCAGAAUCCUUCUGCUGUCUUAUGCAUACAAAAGGGAAUCCUAAACCAAGUUUUGGUACAAGACAGGUCUGCCCCGCAAGACCCGAGGCAAUCGGGCUGUUUCAAGUGAUGGGAAGGGGACCCGCAUGGAGGUGGUGUGUCCCACACCAGCACUCUGGAUUCGAAAAGACACAUCAGAAGAAUCUGAAUACACUGUCUGCUUCCGAGGUUCAAGAUGCCUUCUCCGGCAGUGAACAUGAAUCGAGGGCCUGACAGGAACCUCACAGAGUUCAAAAAAGGCAAAUGCAAUGUCCUACACUGGGUACUGAAUUAAUGUGAUGCAGUUGUGCAGCCUGGGCACAGACUGGUUGUGAAGCACCUUUCCAGAAGCUGAUCUGGGAGUCCUGAGGAACAAGUGAAGAUGAAGGUGUCCAACCACAUUCUGGGCUCCAUUAGAAGAGCACAGCUGAGCAGGGACGAGGAAAGCAAUCUUUCUUCUCUCACAGAAGCACUGAGCACUGCGGCUGGAGUGCUGUGACCAGUUAGGGGCUCCUGAAGACAAGAUGGGAACAAGUCCAGUGGAGGCCAGCAUGGUGAUCAGGAGGUUAGAGCACAGGAGCCAUGGAGAUAGGCAGUGGGGCUUGUUCAGUCUGGAAAACAGGAGGUUAAGGGGUAGGAAAUCCUACUUCAGCUGUGUUAACAGAAGGGGCUGGAAGCUCAUCUUAGUGGUGCACAGUAGUGAGGUAGUGUUGUGUAAUUUUCAGUGUAUGUAAGUGCUGCAUCAUACCACUAAUAAAAAUACUGCAAGUCAGUACUGUCUUGCUGUACUUAAUUGGUCUCCCCACACUGUGGAACCAUUGGGAGUUCCUGGUAACCCUUUUGUUUCAGGAAGGGUGGGUACAGGGAACCUACUCUGGGGCAUUGUUUGGGAUGAUGUUCACUGGUGGGUUUAGGGGUCUUGAUCCUGCCAUUUACAGAAAUAACUGUUCCAAUAUUAAGACAGUAGAGCUGACAGAUCCAGGAAAGUAAAGGAAAUUUCAAAUACUUGCACAGCUCCUGUGCAAACUUUUCCAGACAGGGUAUCUCAACCAGCUUGGUAAAGCCUUUUUCAAAAAAAUAAUAAAUACACAUAUAAGCAUAGCCUUUGCAGGCUGGGGCUCUGGCUGUUACUGUUUGGGGCAGGGAUAGCAGCUUUUCCCCCAUCAUAUGGAUGACUGUGUUCAGUGUAAGAUGUGCAACUGCUGUAACAAGCCUUUUUCUUCCCCAAAUUCAUAUUCUUUCCACUUGGCUCUGGAGUCUGCUCCAAGUAACAGCUCCAGGGAACAAUAUUUCUUGUCAGAAAGUGGGGUUUUGUGAUACAGAUCAAGAUGUCGCCACAUAGAUAAUACUGUCCUCCAGCUCCAGUUGAAAACACUUUUGCUGCUGGCAUGUGCCCAAACAGUUGGGAUGAAUCCACUUCUGGAGUAGGCAGUGGUCUCCCUGGGUAUGGUGAUGGUGUCUUCAGUUCCCAUACACAUGGUUUUGGUUAUCUUCAAAGCAGAGCUAUGCGUGGCAUGCACAUGACAGCAGCUAGGCAAUGUUAAGGUCUGACCCCUCUACUAUAAAUCAGUCUGUGCCAACAGUAACUAACCACAGGAGUUCCCUACAAUUCGGAUCAUAUAGGAAGUAUUACAGAAAUUCUCGAAAAAAAUUCAGUUGUAGCUAUCCUGCAUGACAGUUGAGACUCUGCUGUGGAGAAACAGUUGACUUGAAAUGAAAAAGAACUAUCUUCUGCCUCUUCCCUUCCUCCUGAUACUUGAGAUGUUUGAGAUUCUAUUUUUUUAGGAGACCUUCUUUUAACCUUAAGUUUUACUGCUGCCUCAGUCCUGCUCAAACUUGUAUUCUGUGCUGCCUUUUAUCUGCUUUUAGUAUUUUUUUCCUUACUCUGCUCUUUGCCUUUCAUUCAAACAUUUAAAGACAGCUUCAGAAUCUGAAAAGUAUCUUCCCCAUUUAUGUGGGACACAAAAAAGCUGAGGAAUUAAGCACUGCUAUAGGAAUGCAUCAUGCAGGGUCAUCUCAGCUCCCACACUACUGGACUGCUGCUGCUCUGAAAGACUGACCUAAAGGAAAAAGAUUUUACACUGGCUGUUUUCCAGUACUGUAUGUGAAGGCAAAGGGUGAGAACAGAACUGUAGCAGGUACAGACAGGGAGAACUUUUUAAGGACAGCCCUCACUACUUUGAGGAAUCCUAGCUGCCUAAGAUGGCACCUGCACUCUGUUUCAAUAUACAGAAGAGACAGCACAAACAGCUUUCUUCCAUCCAGACUGAUCAAAAUACAUCUUGUUUUUG